GACGUAGGUGGCGAACGUUAUCCGGAAUCAUUGGGCGUAAAGGGUGCGUAGAUGGCAUGAUAAGUUAUAAGUGGAAAAUCGAGGCUCAACCUCGUGGAAGCUGGUAAUACUGUUUUGCUUGAGUGCAGGAGAGGUUAACGGAACUCCAUGUGGAGCGGUAAAAUGCAUAGAUAUAUGGAAGAACAUCAAUAACGGCGAAGGCAGUUAACUAUUCUGCUACUGACAUUGAGGCACGAAAGCGUGGGGAGCAAAACGG
This 256-nucleotide ribosomal RNA is filed under the name uncultured bacterium. RNAcentral describes it as "partial 16S ribosomal RNA". It matches the Rfam family "Bacterial small subunit ribosomal RNA", at positions 524 to 776 of the family's 1533-position model. The record is from RNAcentral.